AUCCAAAUGUGCCCCCGCGCCAUCCGCACCCAGCUGACGAUUGCUCGCUACGUUGUGUUAGCC
Molecule: small RNA, 63 nt
Filed under: Xanthomonas campestris
Lineage: Bacteria; Pseudomonadati; Pseudomonadota; Gammaproteobacteria; Lysobacterales; Lysobacteraceae
Description: sRNA sX9
Rfam family: Xanthomonas sRNA sX9
Source: RNAcentral